GCGUGGGUAGCUCAGUCGGUAGAGCAAGAGACUCUUAAUCUCAGGGUCAUGGGUUCAGGUCCCAUGUUGGGCG
RNAcentral lists this transfer RNA (73 nucleotides) under Clytia hemisphaerica. RNAcentral's name for it is "tRNA-Lys for anticodon CUU". It matches the Rfam family "tRNA". Rfam says of the family: Transfer RNA (tRNA) molecules are approximately 80 nucleotides in length. Their secondary structure includes four short double-helical elements and three loops (D, anti-codon, and T loops). Further hydrogen bonds mediate the characteristic L-shaped molecular structure. tRNAs have two regions of fundamental functional importance: the anti-codon, which is responsible for specific mRNA codon recognition, and the 3' end, to which the tRNAs corresponding amino acid is attached (by aminoacyl-tRNA synthetases). tRNAs cope with the degeneracy of the genetic code in two manners: having more than one tRNA (with a specific anti-codon) for a particular amino acid; and 'wobble' base-pairing, i.e. permitting non-standard base-pairing at the 3rd anti-codon position. The record is from Rfam by way of RNAcentral. Lineage: Eukaryota; Metazoa; Cnidaria; Hydrozoa; Leptothecata; Clytiidae.